AAUAUUGGACAAUGGUGGCAACCCUGAUCCAGCCAUGCCGCGUGUGUGAAGAAGGUCUNCGGUUUNUNAAGCACGUUAAGUUGGGNGGAAGGGCGUUAGGUUAAUACCCUGAAGUUUUGACGUUACCAACAGAAUAAGCACCGGCUAACUCUGUUCCAGCAGCCGCGGUAAUACAGAGGGUGCAAGCGUUAAUCGGAAUUACUGUGCGUAAAGAGCGCGUAGGUGGUUCAGUAAGAAGGGAGUGAAAUCCCCGGGCUUAAACUGAGAACUGCUUUCAUAACUGCAGAGCUAGAGUAAGGUAGAGGGUAGUGGAAGUUCCUGUGUAGCGGUGAAAUGCGUAGAUAUAGGAAGGAACACCAGUGGCGAAGGCGACUACCUGGACUGAUACUGACACUGAGGUGCGAAAGCGUGGGGAGCAAAC
Molecule: ribosomal RNA, 421 nt
Filed under: uncultured bacterium
Lineage: Bacteria
Description: partial 16S ribosomal RNA
Rfam family: Bacterial small subunit ribosomal RNA
Source: RNAcentral